This 509-nucleotide ribosomal RNA is filed under the name Escherichia coli. RNAcentral describes it as "partial 23S ribosomal RNA". It matches the Rfam family "Bacterial large subunit ribosomal RNA", at positions 1241 to 1751 of the family's 2925-position model. The record is from RNAcentral. Lineage: Bacteria; Pseudomonadati; Pseudomonadota; Gammaproteobacteria; Enterobacterales; Enterobacteriaceae.
CUGUAAGCCUGUGAAGGUGGCCUGUGAGGGUUGCUGGAGGUAUCAGAAGUGCGAAUGCUGACAUAAGUAACGAUAAAGCGGGUGAAAAGCCCGCUCGCCGGAAGACCAAGGGUUCCUGUCCAACGUUAAUCGGGGCAGGGUGAGUCGACCCCUAAGGCGAGGCCGAAAGGCGUAGUCGAUGGGAAACAGGUUAAUAUUCCUGUACUUGGUGUUACUGCGAAGGGGGGACGGAGAAGGCUAUGUUGGCCGGGCGACGGUUGUCCCGGUUUAAGCGUGUAGGCUGGUUUUCCAGGCAAAUCCGGAAAACCAAGGCUGAGGCGUGAUGACGAGGCACUACGGUGCUGAAGCAACAAAUGCCCUGCUUCCAGGAAAAGCCUCUAAGCAUCAGGUAACAUCAAAUCGUACCCCAAACCGACACAGGUGGUCAGGUAGAGAAUACCAAGGCGCUUGAGAGAACUCGGGUGAAGGAACUAGGCAAAAUGGUGCCGUAACUUCGGGAGAAGGCACGC